RNAcentral lists this ribosomal RNA (386 nucleotides) under Ptyodactylus oudrii. RNAcentral's name for it is "partial 12S ribosomal RNA". It matches the Rfam family "Bacterial small subunit ribosomal RNA", at positions 796 to 1382 of the family's 1533-position model. Lineage: Eukaryota; Metazoa; Chordata; Lepidosauria; Squamata; Phyllodactylidae. The record is from RNAcentral.
UUAGCCGUUAACACAGACAGCCACCACACCCCGCUGUCCGCCAGAGAAGUAUUAGUGAAAAGCUAGAAACUCAAAGGACUUGGCGGUACCCCACACCAACCUAGAGGAGCCUGUCCCAUAAUCGAUACCCCACGCUAAACCUAACCGGCUCUUGACAACCAGCCUAUAUACCGCCGUCGCCAGCCUGCCUAAUGAUAGAUGCAUAGCAGGCAUAAUAGCCCCCGCUAACACGUCAGGUCAAGGUGUAGCUAAUGAGCCGGGCAAAGAUGGGCUACAUUUUCUACCCACAAGAAAACCCACCACCCACUCACUGAAACCUGAGUCUCAAGGCGGAUUUAGCAGUAAACCAGAAGAGUUAAGCCUGGUUGAAGCCUGCUCUGGGGUAU